GACUCCAAUAAACCUGGAGCCCACCUGACAGUGAAAAAGAUCUUUGUCAGUGGAAUCAAGGAGGACACAGAGGAGUAUCAUAUCAGACAGCACUUUGAGCGCUGUGGGAAGAUUCAGAUUACUGACAACUGGGAGCAAGAGAGGAUUCUGCUCCGUCACCUUUGAUGAUCACGAUACUGUGGAAAAAAUUUGUUGGUGCACAAAAAUAUCACACAAUCAACCCGCAUAACUGUGAAGUAAGAAAAGCACUUCCAAAGCAGGAGAUGUUUCUAAUCAGAGAUAUCGAGGUGGAGGUAAUUUCAUGAGCAGAGGAGGAAACUUUGGCCGAGGUAACUUUGGUGGAGGCAAAGGAGGAGGAAAUUAUAACGAUUUUGGAAAUAACGCAGGACAACAGUCCAACUACGGCCCCAUGAAGGGAAAUAACUUUGGAGGAAGGAGCUCAGGACCUUACAGUGGUACAGAAAAUCCAGUACACUGCAUGCCACAUCAAAAGUGAAACCACUGUGUGUGAGCCUGAUCAUGUGCAUUGUUAUAUUUAGGUGGAUAUGGCUCUGGGGGCUAUUGUUUUUUUUAUUAUUAUUUGAAGACGGUGAUGUCAGUGUCACAUGUAUUUUUAUAUAUUGUGAGUAUGUGUUGUGCAAUCUGAGUUACAUGAUAAACAGUAGAUUUUUUUCAGAUCUGAGGGCAUGCAACAUGUUAAACCUGUAAAGAGAGAAGUCUAGAAACAAUUUUGACCAUUGAAAAAAAGAAACCAGCUGAAAUAAAGCUGUGUAGUAACUUGCCUAAUGAAGUUUA
Cyprinus carpio (common carp) is the source of this 795-nucleotide long non-coding RNA. The record is from Ensembl. Lineage: Eukaryota; Metazoa; Chordata; Actinopteri; Cypriniformes; Cyprinidae.